CCUGACCAGCCAUGCCGCGUGCAGGAAGACGGCCCUACGGGUUGUAAACUGCUUUUGUACCGGAAUAAACCUUGAUACGUGUAUCAAGCUGAAUGUACGGUAAGAAUAAGGAUCGGCUAACUCCGUGCCAGCAGCCGCGGUAAUACGGAGGAUCCGAGCGUUAUCCGGAUUUAUUGGGUUUAAAGGGUGCGUAGGCGGCUAUUUAAGUCAGGGGUGAAAGACGGCAGCUCAACUGUCGCAGUGCCUUUGAUACUGAAUAGCUUGAAUACACUUGAGGUAGGCGGAAUGUGACAAGUANCGGUGAAAUGCAUANAUAUGUCACAGAACACCAAUUGCNAAGGCAGCUUACUAAAGUGUGAUUGACGCUGAGGCACGAAAGCGUGGGGAUCAAACAGGAUUAGAUACCCUGGUAGUCCACGCCCUAAACGAUGAAUACUCNAUGUUGGCGAUAUACGGUCAGCGUCUAANCGAAAGCGUUAAGUAUUCCACCUGGGGAGUACGCCCGCAAGGGUGAAACUCANAGGAAUUGACGGGGGCCCGCACAAGCGGAGGAGCAUGUGGUUUAAUUCNAUGAUACGCGAGGAACCUUACCCGGGCUUGAA
This 602-nucleotide ribosomal RNA is filed under the name Bacteroidetes bacterium OR-219. RNAcentral describes it as "bacterial SSU rRNA". It matches the Rfam family "Bacterial small subunit ribosomal RNA", at positions 382 to 985 of the family's 1533-position model. Lineage: Bacteria; Pseudomonadati; Bacteroidota. The record is from RNAcentral.